UGAUCAGGGAAAGAAAGAAAGAAAGAAAGAAGAAGAAGAAGAAGAAGAAGAAGAAGAAGAAGAGAAACAAAAAUUGGGGCUUUUGGGGUUCUUGCUUUAAUCUUUUCAUUGGGGGUCAAAAUUCUCAAAGGAUAGCGUAUCGCUUGCUUAAAUGUUAAGAAUGGGCUGAGGCAGUGGAAAGUUUAGAAGACGUUGGGCAGAACUUUUGUUAGCAUAUAUGUAGGUGUGUAUGAGCUACCUUGCAUCUAAUGAAAUGUGACUAUAAAUCUAAACCUGUGGAUUUUGUGUAAUUUAAUGGAUCCCUCAUGUAUAGGGUUUUGGAAUGUUAAAUUAAAUUCGUGUAAUGAUAUGAACUUAUGGUAAAUCGAUGUUUGUGGUGAUUGCAUAAAA
Long non-coding RNA from Musa acuminata AAA Group (dessert banana), 390 nucleotides. RefSeq lists it as uncharacterized. The record is from RefSeq and is a predicted model, not a curated record. The transcript is spliced from 2 exons. NCBI's taxonomy places the organism in Eukaryota, Viridiplantae, Streptophyta, Magnoliopsida, Zingiberales, Musaceae.